GACGAACGCUGGCGGCGUGCCUAACACAUGCAAGUCGAACGGAAAGGCCCUGCUUUUGUGGGGUGCUCGAGAGGCGAACGGGUGAGUAACACGCGAGUAACCUGCCCCUGACUUUGGGAUAACUUCAGGAAACUGGGGCUAAUACCGGAUAGGAGCUCCUGCUGCAUGGUGGGGGUUGGAAAGUUUCGGCGGUUGGGGAUGGACUCGCGGGUUAUCAGCUUGUUGGUGGGGUAGUGGCUUACCAAGGCUUUGACGGGUAGCCGGCCUGGGAGGGUGACCGGCCACAUUGGGACUGAGAUACGGCCCAGCCUCCUACGGGAGGCAGCAGUGGGGAAUAUUGCACAAUGGGCGGAAGCCUGAUGCGGCAACGCCGCGUGCGUGAUGACGGCCUUCGGGUUGUAAACCGCUUUGUCCUGUGACGAAGCGAGAGUGACGGUAAUGGGUAAAGAAGCAACGGCUAACUACGUG
Molecule: ribosomal RNA, 468 nt
Filed under: uncultured bacterium
Lineage: Bacteria
Description: partial 16S ribosomal RNA
Rfam family: Bacterial small subunit ribosomal RNA
Source: RNAcentral